Molecule: ribosomal RNA, 453 nt
Filed under: uncultured bacterium
Lineage: Bacteria
Description: bacterial SSU rRNA
Rfam family: Bacterial small subunit ribosomal RNA
Source: RNAcentral
AACGCGAAGAACCUUACCUGGGCUUGAACUACUGGAAGUAAGAUUCCGGAAACGGAAGAUGACCUGUCAAGUCAGGGACCAGCAGAGGUGCUGCAUGGCUGUCGUCAGCUCGUGUCGUGAGAUGUUGGGUUAAGUCCCGCAACGAGCGCAACCCUUAUCCCAUGUUGCUCAACGGUCGCAAGAUCGUCGCACUCUUGGGAAACUGCCUCGGAUAACGGGGAGGAAGGUGGGGAUGACGUCAAGUCCUCAUGGCCUUUAUGUCCAGGGCUACACACGUGCUACAAUGGCCGGUACAGCGGGAUGCAAAUCAGCAAUGAUGAGCCAAUCCCUCAAAGCCGGCCCCAGUUCAGAUUGUGGGCUGCAACUCGCCCACAUGAAGGCGGAAUCGCUAGUAAUCGCAGAUCAGCAGGCUGCGGUGAAUACGUUCCCGGGCCUUGUACACACCGCGUGUCU